Molecule: unclassified non-coding RNA, 347 nt
Filed under: fungal sp.
Lineage: Eukaryota; Fungi
Description: partial internal transcribed spacer region
Source: RNAcentral
CGGCCGUAACACACUCGACGAGGUACUUCAGAUCCUCGCGGACAUUGUCCUUCACCUCGAGAUGUACGGUGAUGCGUUCCGACCCGAAGAACGGCUGGUUGUUGAGCGGCUCCGGCCCAGUGGCCCUCACGUCGACGCCAUGCCUUACGCAACAGGGCAUGAGCACAUCCUUCGCGAGGCUGCGCGCAGAGUAGCCCUUGUGCCCGGACUUCACGCUGAGGGCGAGCGCAUCAACCAUACGGUUGGUCGCCUUGGCGAGGAGAGCGGUGCCAAGCACAGGCGUGAACGUCACGCUCUUCGAUUCACCCACCCGUCGCGUUCGCUCCAGCCAUUCCUCUGGAAGCUCG